Molecule: long non-coding RNA, 921 nt
Organism: Bolinopsis microptera
Lineage: Eukaryota; Metazoa; Ctenophora; Tentaculata; Lobata; Bolinopsidae
Exons: 4
Source: RefSeq, a predicted model, not a curated record
GAGAGACAAACUGUUUAUGAUUAUCAACGUGACCGUAGAGUGGUUUAAAUACAAAUCAAAAAUUCGAGCGUUAUUAAUUCAAUCAAAAUAACGCGAAUAGAAUGGGUUGAACGAACCAAACACAUUAUGUGCUAAAAUCGGAAAAUAUAACUAAAUAGGAUGUAUUUGCAAACUAAUUCAACUACUUUUCUUUAUUUUCAGAUAGAUCUACGACCUACGUGGUAUAGCAAAGUGUUUCCUAAAUCCAACAUUUUACUGCUCUAAUAUAAAGGACUAAACUGCAAACCGGGGUGUCUCCAAUCUUUCCAACGGAUGUCCAACCUUUCUCCUUUAACCUUCUAACUAUACACUAAUAUAAUAUUCAGAUGGAUCUACAACGUAUGUGGUGAAUCAAAGUGUUUCCUAAAUCCAACAUUUUACUGCUCUAUUAUAAAGAUCGAUUUUCCUUUAUCUAAACAAUGUGGAGGGGGAAUGCAAAGCCACGAACGUUAAUUGAUCAAGUGAGAUCAUAAAUUUAUCAAAUCAACCGCAGAUCGGAAAUAAAAACUAUAGAGCUUCUAAUUUGUUGGCGAGGAUAAAUGGACUGUGGGAAAUUUUAUUAAUGAAUACUGCUAUAUUGCACUGACUUGAAAGAAAUAAUUUGUAAUUUUAUGUCGGUGCAAAAUUUUGGAUUUAAACAUUUGAUAAAUUUCUCAAAGCCCAAACGUUUAGUUAAUUACUUUAGAAGCUAAAACGUUUUGGGCGAAUGAUAUUGUUAAAAAAGUAUUUAUAUGCUUUAUUUAAAAUAUAAAUAGCAUCACGUGCUGUUCGUGCUGAUUUUUGUGAGACAUUUCUGUUUUCAUAUUUUUGGGAGUUUUGCAACUUAGUUUUAAAUUAAUUGCAAUAAUGUUUUGCACUGUUCUACUUUUAUUUUUAACUUAU